This 259-nucleotide ribosomal RNA is filed under the name uncultured Staphylococcus sp. RNAcentral's name for it is "partial 16S ribosomal RNA". It matches the Rfam family "Bacterial small subunit ribosomal RNA", at positions 103 to 355 of the family's 1533-position model. Lineage: Bacteria; Bacillati; Bacillota; Bacilli; Caryophanales; Staphylococcaceae. The record is from RNAcentral.
CGGGUGAGUAACACGUGGAUAACCUACCUAUAAGACUGGGAUAACUUCGGGAAACCGGAGCUAAUACCGGAUAAUAUUUUGAACCGCAUGGUUCAAAAGUGAAAGACGGUCUUGCUGUCACUUAUAGAUGGAUCCGCGCUGCAUUAGCUAGUUGGUAAGGUAACGGCUUACCAAGGCAACGAUGCAUAGCCGACCUGAGAGGGUGAUCGGUCACACUGGAACUGAGACACGGUCCAGACUCCUACGGGAGGCAGCAGCC